GAAGGUUUGGCGAGUACACUUGGCUUUGAUAGUGCCUAUGGAGUUGGUAGUUCUGGACGGAGUGGGGGGCUGUGCAUCUACUGGAAGAACACGGUAGACCUCACACUAAGGAAUUACUCCAAGUAUCAUAUUGAUAUGGUGGUUCAGGAAGUUGGAAAGGACCCUUGGCGCCUGACUUGUUGGUAUGGAGAGGCGGAUAGAAGCUUAAGAUAUAGAACAUGGGAUAUGAUGAGGUUCCCGCGAGCGGAUGAGCGAGACCUUCCAUGGAUGUGCAUCGGUGACUUUAAUGAAGUGCUCCGCAGGGAAGAACACUUGGGUCCGAGUGAUCGAGCAUGGACGCAGAUUCAACAGUUUAGAGAGGUGGUGGAUGCCUGCGGGUUAGCUGAUAUUGGCUACGUGGGCAUGGACUAG
Molecule: ribosomal RNA, 411 nt
Filed under: Triticum aestivum (bread wheat)
Lineage: Eukaryota; Viridiplantae; Streptophyta; Magnoliopsida; Poales; Poaceae
Description: partial small subunit ribosomal RNA
Source: RNAcentral